GCCAGGCCUGGUGGCACAUGCCUGUAAUCCUAGCUACUCCAGGGGCUGAGGUGGGAGGAUUACUUGAGCCCAGGAGUUCUGGGCUGCAGUGAGACAUGAUCUCACCACUGCACUCCAGCCUGGGCAACAGAGUGAGACCUUGUCUCUA
This is a non-coding RNA of Pongo abelii (Sumatran orangutan), 148 nucleotides long. Lineage: Eukaryota; Metazoa; Chordata; Mammalia; Primates; Hominidae. The record is from Rfam.